Neurospora tetrasperma FGSC 2509 is the source of this 98-nucleotide transfer RNA. It matches the Rfam family "tRNA". Rfam says of the family: Transfer RNA (tRNA) molecules are approximately 80 nucleotides in length. NCBI's taxonomy places the organism in Eukaryota, Fungi, Ascomycota, Sordariomycetes, Sordariales, Sordariaceae. The record is from Rfam.
GGCGCGAUGACCGAGUGGCCUAAGGUGUUUGACUCGAACUAGCGUCGAGGUCCUAUCAAAUCUCUUCGGAGGCGCAGGUUCAAAUCCUGCUCGCGUCG